This 516-nucleotide long non-coding RNA is filed under the name Homo sapiens (human). RNAcentral describes it as "HSALNT0375815". The record is from RNAcentral. Lineage: Eukaryota; Metazoa; Chordata; Mammalia; Primates; Hominidae.
AUUUUCCUGUUGCUCCUCUGGCCACCCUCCCAAUGGAUCCGUGUGGUCCCUGGCAGGAAUGUCUUGCUUGGGGACCGAGUGAGCUCUUAGAGCCUUUCUGCUGCUUCCUCUACCCCUGUAUUUUACUCAGCUCUCUAAAUUGACUCAGUGCCAGGUCUGCUGCAGUUUGCUGGAGGUCCACUCCAGACUCUAUGUACCUGGAUAUCACCAGCGGAAGCUGCAGAAUAGCAAAGAUUGCUUCCUGGUCCUUCCUCUGGAAGCUUCAUCCCAGAGGGGCACUGGCCUGAUGUCAGCUGGAGCUCUCCUGUAUGAGGUAUCUGUCAACUCCUGUUGGGAGAUCUCUCCCCGUCAGGAAGCAUGUGGAUCAGGGAUUCACUUGAGAAGGCAGUCUGUCCCUUAGCAGAGCUCGAGUGCUGUGCUGGGAGAACUCUCUUUGUCAGGAUCUGCUGCUCUCUUCAGAACCAGCAGGCAGGAAUGUUUAAGUCCGCUGAGGCUGUGCCCACAGCCACCCCUUCC